AUGGACCUGGAGCAAGGAGACACCCAGCACCCCCAGCACAUCUCCUGCACCCCCAGCACACCCCCAGCAAGCCCAACACAGCCCCAGCAAGCCCAGCACACCCCCAGCACACCCCCAGCACCCCCAGGCAGCCCCGUGCCGGGUGCGCUGCAGGAGCUGGCAGCGGGCGCAGCCCCGAGCCCUGCUCCAGGUGCCCCCCCCCCCCCCCCCCGGGGCCCGGCUCGCGGCUUUUGGAGCCGAGGGGGCCGCAGGAGGUGCGGGGGGAGCCGGGGUGCGGGGGGAGCCUGCCCAGGGACAGCCCACCCGGGGAUGCGGGAUGCGGGAUGCGGGCGGCAGCAGGUGGAGCUCGCGCUCCAGCGAACCCAGCGCGGGGAGCGCGCACCCAGCCCGCACCCAGCACGCACCCAGCCUCAGCCCCCCCCGGGCCGUGCCGGGCAGCGGGGGGGGCACCCAGGGGCUGAGCGCGGCCGGGGUUUGGUGAGGUCCUGGGGGUGCGCCCAGCCCCGAGCUGGGAGCUGCAGGGGGUUGGCACGGGGACACCCGGUGCGGGGCGCACGGUGUGGGACAUCUGGUUUGGGGACACCUGCUAUGGGGCAGCUGGUGUGGGACAAUUGGUGUGGGGCACCAGCUGUGGGGCAGCUGCGAGAAGCAGCACACACCGCACGGGGACAUCCCCACACCCACGGAGGAGCCGCUUGGUGCAGUGCCCACGGGGCACAGCUCCCGCUCGGGCAUGCCAGGCACAGCGAGCAGGACCAGGAGCUUCCCUGGCCCCUCCUGGCAGGGUGCUGCUGCCCCAGGGCUUGGGGCUGGGUGCUGUGGGUGCAGACCAGCCCCGUGCGUCCCUUCCCCUGCAGGCAGCGCGGGAGGGAAGCAGCCAAACCAAAGCGCCGUGUUUAUUUUCCCCCCGGUAAGCAGCAUUUUGACAUGUCACAGCAAGUCUCUCAAACACGUGUUGACAGAAAAUGUGUACAAGCAGGAGAAAUGUUGUUCAUUUGCAUCAAAUUGCAAAGUGAUUCCGUGAAAUUGAUAUGUGGCAUUUCGCUCGCGUCUGCAGGUACCGCAGGUUCCUCCGGCACCGUGAGCCAGGAGCCACCGAGGGCUCCCAUGAGGGUGGCUCAGCCCAUGGGGCUUGUGGGGACCCUGAGUGCCCCCCAAUGUCCCAAAGCACCCCGGUGCUGGCUGCGGAGCUGCCAAGGGACCAGAGGAGGCAGGCAGGACACUGCUGGGCACGCCACUCCCCAGCCUUCUGGGCUGUUCCCCCCUCCCCAGCCCUCUCCUGCCCUGCCCAACCCUUCCAGGGGUCCCUGGAGCUGCCCGGGUGUCCCUGCGGAUGCCCAGGGUCUGGCGCUGUGGCUGUGA
RNAcentral lists this long non-coding RNA (1362 nucleotides) under Anas platyrhynchos platyrhynchos (common mallard). RNAcentral describes it as "lncRNA (ENSAPLG00000026454.1)". Lineage: Eukaryota; Metazoa; Chordata; Aves; Anseriformes; Anatidae. The record is from RNAcentral.